CAAGUCGAACGGUGAACGGGGCUUCGGCCCCGGGAUCAGUGGCGAACGGGUGCGUAACACGUGGGCAACCUGCCCCUCACUCUGGGAUAACCCCGGGAAACCGGAGCUAAUACCGGAUACUCCGCUCCCACCGCAUGGCGGGAUCGGGAAAGGUCCGCCGGUGAGGGAUGGGCCCGCGGCCUAUCAGCUUGUUGGUGGGGUAACGGCCCACCAAGGCGACGACGGGUAGCUGGUCUGAGAGGACGACCAGCCACACUGGGACUGAGAUACGGCCCAGACUCCUACGGGAGGCAGCAGUGGGGAAUCUUGCACAAUGGGCGAAAGCCUGAUGCAGCGACGCCGCGUGAGGGAUGAAGGCCCUCGGGUUGUAAACCUCUUUCGGCAGGGACGAAGCGAUCGUGACGGUACCUGCAGAAGAAGCCUCGGCUAACUACGUGCCAGCAGCCGCGGUAAGACGUAGGAGGCGAGCGUUGUCCGGAUUCAUUGGGCGUAAAGAGCGCGCAGGCGGCUUGGUAAGUCGGAUGUGAAAACCCGAGGCUCAACCUCGGACGUGCAUCCGAUACUGCUCGGCUAGAGGUAGGUAGGGGAGAUCGGAAUUCCUGGUGUAGCGGUGAAAUGCGCAGAUAUCAGGAGGAACACCGGUGGCGAAGGCGGAUCUCUGGGCCUUACCUGACGCUCAGGCGCGAAAGCUAGGGGAGCGAACUGGAUUAGAUACCCAGGUAGUCCUAGCUGUAAACGUUGGGUGCUAGGUGUGGGCGGAUAUCGACCCCGUCCGUGCCGAAGCUAACGCAUUAAGCACCCC
This 802-nucleotide ribosomal RNA is filed under the name uncultured Actinomycetes bacterium. RNAcentral describes it as "bacterial SSU rRNA". It matches the Rfam family "Bacterial small subunit ribosomal RNA", at positions 58 to 870 of the family's 1533-position model. Lineage: Bacteria; Bacillati; Actinomycetota; Actinomycetes. The record is from RNAcentral.